RNAcentral lists this ribosomal RNA (409 nucleotides) under Entrophospora claroidea. RNAcentral's name for it is "partial large subunit ribosomal RNA". Lineage: Eukaryota; Fungi; Glomeromycota; Glomeromycetes; Entrophosporales; Entrophosporaceae. The record is from RNAcentral.
AGAGUUAAACAGUACGUGAAAUUGUUGAAAGGGAAACGAUUGAAGUCAGUCGUGCUGGCGCGAAAUCAACCCUCUCGUCGAGAGAUCACAUGGCGUGGCGAGCCUCAAAACCGUCACGAAGCGUGAACUCUUUGCGAAAUGGAGCACUUUCGUGUCCGCUGGUUAACAUCAAUUUCGACCGUCAUAAAAAGGCUGGAGGGAUGUGGCUCCUUCGGGAGUGUUAUAACCUUUAGCGGAAUGUGGUGGUCGGGAUUGAGGAUUGCAACGAAUACCUUUAGGGCUGUUCCACCUGGCUUCUCAACGGUAUCCUGGUGACGACAGCUUGCUGACGUCGUUAGGAUUCGCCAUUGAACAGGCUAGAGUGUGAGCAAAUUCGUUAAGGAUGUUAACGUAAUGGCUUUAAACGACC